CACCGCGGUUAUACGAGAGGCCCAAGUUGAUUGAUACCGGCGUAAAGCGUGGUUAAGGAAUGUUAAAACUAAAGCCGAACAUCUUCAAAGCAGUUAUACGCAUCCGAAGACACGAAGCCCCACCACGAAAGUGGCUUUAUAAAACCUGACCCCACGAAAGCUAUGAUA
RNAcentral lists this ribosomal RNA (168 nucleotides) under Amarsipus carlsbergi (amarsipa). Its description in RNAcentral is "partial 12S rRNA". The record is from RNAcentral. Lineage: Eukaryota; Metazoa; Chordata; Actinopteri; Scombriformes; Amarsipidae.